Molecule: microRNA precursor, 103 nt
Filed under: Marmota monax (woodchuck)
Lineage: Eukaryota; Metazoa; Chordata; Mammalia; Rodentia; Sciuridae
Source: RNAcentral
AGUGGGAUAACUGGGUCAAAUGGUGAUUUCAUUCCAAGUUUUCUAAGGAAUCUCCAUACUGUUUUCCAAAGGGGUUGUAUUAAUUUGUAGUCCCACCAGCAAU